This 468-nucleotide ribosomal RNA is filed under the name uncultured bacterium. RNAcentral's name for it is "partial 16S ribosomal RNA". It matches the Rfam family "Bacterial small subunit ribosomal RNA", at positions 28 to 507 of the family's 1533-position model. The record is from RNAcentral.
GACGAACGCUGGCGGCGUGCUUAACACAUGCAAGUCGAACGGAAAGGCCCUGCUUUUGUGGGGUGCUCGAGUGGCGAACGGGUGAGUAACACGUGAGUAACCUGCCCUUGACUUUGGGAUAACUUCAGGAAACUGGGGCUAAUACCGGAUAGGAGCUCCUGCUGCAUGGUGGGGGUUGGAAAGUUUCGGCGGUUGGGGAUGGACUCGCGGCUUAUCAGCUGGUUGGUGGGGUAGUGGCUUACCAAGGCUUUGACGGGUAGCCGGCCUGAGAGGGUGACCGGCCACAUUGGGACUGAGAUACGGCCCAGACUCCUACGGGAGGCAGCAGUGGGGAAUAUUGCACAAUGGGCGGAAGCCUGAUGCAGCAACGCCGCGUGCGGGAUGACGGCCUUCGGGUUGUAAACCGCUUUCGCCUGUGUCGAAGCGUGAGUGACGGUAAUGGGUAAAGAAGCACCGGCUAACUACGUG